This 253-nucleotide ribosomal RNA is filed under the name uncultured microorganism. RNAcentral's name for it is "partial 16S ribosomal RNA". It matches the Rfam family "Bacterial small subunit ribosomal RNA", at positions 524 to 776 of the family's 1533-position model. The record is from RNAcentral.
UACGUAGGGUGCGAGCGUUAAUCGGAUUUACUGGGCGUAAAGCGCGCGUAGGCGGUGCGGUAAGUCAGGGGUUAAAGGCUGCAGCUCAACUGCAGUAAGGCCUUUGAUACUAUCGCGCUAGAGUACCAGAGAGGAUGGCGGAAUUCCCGGUGUAGCGGUGAAAUGCGUAGAGAUCAGGAGGAACACCGGUGGGGAAGCCGGCCAGCUGGACGGUUCCUGACGCUGAGGCACGAAAGCGUGGGGAGCAAACCGG